UCCUCGGAGAACCCCUCCUCCCAGCCGCGGGGCAGAUCUGGGGAGGCAGAACAAAGGGAGUGAGAACUUGGUGCCCUGAAGGUGCCUCCCUGUCCGGAGAAAGGGGGGGAGCGGGGGUUGGGGAGGGCGCGAGACCCCCGCCACCCAACGGUCGUUAGCGGUUCCUCCCCCGCCACGCGACACACCCCCAGCCCCGGGCGGGCACCCACCUGAGCGGAUCAUGUGGCCGGAGUUGACGGGCUCCUCCGUGCGAGGAUGCAGCCAAGUAGUAGAGCGGGUCAGGUCACUAGGAGGGAGAAGCGGAAAACAUGCACCUGUUAGUGACGGGCAGCCCCGGGCGGACCCCCGCCCUCCUCCCAACACGCGCCUCCCCGCGCCUUACUCGAUGAAGAACACCCGGCCGUCCCUGCAGACGCCAUAGGACCAGUGCUCAGGCACACUGUGAGUGAAACAGAAUGUAAGCUCCAAAGGACAUGGAAAAUAAAGCCCUGCCCUUUUUCCAGAGUGCAGAAGGAACUGAUGUUAACGAUGAUGCUGUAAUACAGGCUUUGUAAGGUGCAAAUGUUUCUGUGCUCCCCCUAUCAUCUCCGUCCCUGAGGU
This is a long non-coding RNA of Mauremys mutica (yellowpond turtle), 600 nucleotides long. RefSeq lists it as uncharacterized. Lineage: Eukaryota; Metazoa; Chordata; Testudines; Geoemydidae. The transcript has 4 exons. The record is from RefSeq and is a predicted model, not a curated record.